Molecule: ribosomal RNA, 459 nt
Filed under: uncultured bacterium
Lineage: Bacteria
Description: bacterial SSU rRNA
Rfam family: Bacterial small subunit ribosomal RNA
Source: RNAcentral
UACGGGAGGCAGCAGUGGGGAAUAUUGGACAAUGGGCGGAAGCCUGAUCCAGCCAUGCCGCGUGUGUGAAGAAGGCCUUUUGGUUGUAAAGCACUUUAAGCGAGGAGGAGGCUCUCCUAGUUAAUACCUAGGAAGAGUGGACGUUACUCGCAGAAUAAGCACCGGCUAACUCUGUGCCAGCAGCCGCGGUAAUACAGAGGGUGCGAGCGUUAAUCGGAUUUACUGGGCGUAAAGCGUGCGUAGGCGGCUGAUUAAGUCGGAUGUGAAAUCCCUGAGCUUAACUUGGAAUUGCAUUCGAUACUGGUCAGCUAGAGUAUGGGAGAGGAUGGUAGAAUUCCAGGUGUAGCGGUGAAAUGCGUAGAGAUCUGGAGGAAUACCGAUGGGCGAAGGGCAGCCAUCUGGGCCUAAUACUGACGCUGAGGUACGAAAGCAUGGGGAAGGCAAACAGGAUUAGAUACC